UUACGCCGCGUGGAGGAUGAAGGUCUUCGGAUUGUAAACUCCUGUUGCCCGGGACGAAAAGCUUUGACCUAACACGUCAAAGUCUGACGGUACCGGGUGAGGAAGCCCCGGCUAACUCUGUGCCAGCAGCCGCGGUAAUACAGAGGGGGCAAGCGUUGUUCGGAAUUACUGGGCGUAAAGGGCGCGUAGGCGGCCUGUUAAGUCGAACGUGAAAUCCCCGGGCUCAACCCGGGAACUGCGUCCGAUACUGGCUGGCUUGAAUCCGGGAGAGGGAUGUGGAAUUCCAGGUGUAGCGGUGAAAUGCGUAGAUAUCUGGAGGAACACCGGUGGCGAAGGCGACAUCCUGGACCGGCAUUGACGCUGAGGCGCGAAAGCUAGGGGAGCAAACGGGAUUAGAUACCCCAGUAGUCCUAGCCCUAAACGAUGAAUGCUUGGUGUGGCGGGUAUCGAUCCCUGCCGUGCCGAAGCUAACGCAUUAAGCAUUCCGCCUGGGGAGUACGGUCGCAGGCUGAAACUCAAGGAUUGACGGGGGCCGAACAA
RNAcentral lists this ribosomal RNA (540 nucleotides) under uncultured bacterium. RNAcentral's name for it is "bacterial SSU rRNA". It matches the Rfam family "Bacterial small subunit ribosomal RNA", at positions 392 to 928 of the family's 1533-position model. The record is from RNAcentral.